Molecule: ribosomal RNA, 346 nt
Filed under: Schizidium fissum
Lineage: Eukaryota; Metazoa; Arthropoda; Malacostraca; Isopoda; Armadillidiidae
Description: partial large subunit ribosomal RNA
Source: RNAcentral
GGUAGCAUAAUAAUUAGUUAUUUAAUUUGUAACUAGAAUGAAUGGUUUGACAAAAAGCUAACUUUUUUAGGUUUAAAUAAAGUUAAUAUAAAAAUAAAAAAGUUUUUUUAAAUUAGAAAGACGAUAAGACCCUAAAACCUUUAUAUAUAAUAUUUUACUGGGGUGGUAGUUUAUAAACACUCAUAAACAAUAAAAACUCAUUGAAUGAUUUCUACUAACUUUAUUAAAGACAAAAAGGUACUUUAGGGAUAACAGCAUAAUUUCUAUUUAGAGCCCUUAUCGACAUAGAAGAUUAUGACCUCGAUGUUGAAUUGAUAUUAUACUAUAGAGUAGAUUUAUAGUAGUG